This 497-nucleotide ribosomal RNA is filed under the name uncultured bacterium. RNAcentral describes it as "partial 16S ribosomal RNA". It matches the Rfam family "Bacterial small subunit ribosomal RNA", at positions 28 to 507 of the family's 1533-position model. The record is from RNAcentral.
GAUGAACGCUGGCGGCGUGCCUAAUACAUGCAAGUCGAGCGAACGGACGAGAAGCUUGCUUCUCUGAUGUUAGCGGCGGACGGGGGAGUAACACGUGGAUAACCUACCUAUAAGACUGGGAUAACUUCGGGAAACCGGCGCUAAUACCGGAUAAUAUUUUGAACCGCAUGGUUCAAAAGUGAAAGACGGUCUUGCCGUCACUUAUAGAUGGAUCCGCGCUGCAUUAGCUAGUUGGUAAGGUAACGGCUUACCAAGGCAACGAUGCAUAGCCGACCUGAGAGGGUGAUCGGCCACACUGGAACUGAGACACGGUCCUGACUCCUACGGGAGGCAGCAGUAGGGAAUCUUCCGCAAUGGGCGAAAGCCUGACGGAGCAACGCCGCGUGAGUGAUGAAGGUCUUCGGAUCGUAAAACUCUGUUAUGAGGGAAGAACAUAUGUGUAAGUAACUGUGCACAUCUUGACGGUACCUAAUCAGAAAGCCACGGCUAACUACGUG